RNAcentral lists this non-coding RNA (597 nucleotides) under Drosophila willistoni. RNAcentral describes it as "Eukaryotic small subunit ribosomal RNA". It matches the Rfam family "Eukaryotic small subunit ribosomal RNA", at positions 1320 to 1831 of the family's 1831-position model. The record is from Rfam by way of RNAcentral. Lineage: Eukaryota; Metazoa; Arthropoda; Insecta; Diptera; Drosophilidae.
UAAUUCCGAUAACGAACGAAGCUCAAAUAUAUUAAAUUGAUAUCUUCAGGAUUAUGGUGUUGAAGCUUAUAUUGCCUUCAUUCAUGGUAGCAGUAAAAUGUUUAUUGUGUUUGAAUGUGUUUAUAUAAGUGGAGCCGUACCUGUUGGUUUGUCCCAUUAUAAGGACACUAGCUUCUUAAAUGGACAAAUUGCGUCUAGCAAUAAUGAGAUUGAGCAAUAACAGGUCUGUGAUGCCCUUAGAUGUCCUGGGCUGCACGCGCGCUACAAUGAAAGUAUCAACGUGUAUUUCCUAGACCGAGAGGUCCGGGUAAACCGCUGAACCACUUUCAUGCUUGGGAUUGUGAACUGAAACUGUUCACAUGAACUUGGAAUUCCUAGUAAGUGUGAGUCAUUAACUCGCAUUGAUUACGUCCCUGCCCUUUGUGCACACCGCCCGUCGCUACUACCGAUUGAAUUAUUUAGUGAGGUCUCCGGACGUGAUCACUGUGACGCCUUGCGUGUUACGGUUGUUUCGCAAAAGUUGACCGAACUUGAUUAUUUAGAGGAAGUAAAAGUCGUAACAAGGUUUCCGUAGGUGAACCUGCGGAAGGAUCAUUA